CAGUCGAACGCUUCACUUCGGUGAAGAGUGGCGAACGGGUGAGUAUCCAUAAGUAACCUGGCAUCUACAGGGGGAUAACUGAUGGAAACGUCAGCUAAGACCGCAUAGGUGUAGAGAUCGCAUGAACUCUAUACGAAAAGUGCUACGGGACUGGUAGAUGAUGGACUUAUGGCGCAUUAGCUGGUUGGUAGGGUAACGGUCUACCAAGGCGACGAUGCGUAGCCGACCUGAGAGGGUGACCGGCCACACUGGGACUGAGACACGGCCCAGACUCCUACGGGAGGCAGCAGUAGGGAAUUUUCGGCAAUGGGGGAAACCCUGACCGAGCAACGCCGCGUGAAGGAAGAAGUAAUUCGUUAUGUAAACUUCUGUCAUAGAGGAAGAACGGUGGAUAUAGGGAAUGAUAUCCAAGUGACGGUACUCUAUAAGAAAGCCACGGCUAACUACGUGCCAGCAGCCGCGGUAAUACGUAGGUGGCGAGCGUUAUCCGGAAUUAUUGGGCGUAAAGAGGGAGCAGGCGGCACUAAGGGUCUGUGGUGAAAGAUCGAAGCUUAACUUCGGUAAGCCAUGGAAACCGUAGAGCUAGAGUGUGUGAGAGGAUCGUGGAAUUCCAUGUGUAGCGGUGAAAUGCGUAGAUAUAUGGAGGAACACCAGUGGCGAAGGCGACGAUCUAGCGCAUAACUGACGCUCAGUCCCGAAAGCGUGGGGAGCAAAUAGGAUUAGAUACCCUAGUAGUCCACGCCGUANACGAUGAGUACUAAGUGUUGGGAGNCAAAUCUCAGUGCUGCAGUUAACGCAAUAAGUA
This 805-nucleotide ribosomal RNA is filed under the name uncultured bacterium. RNAcentral describes it as "bacterial SSU rRNA". It matches the Rfam family "Bacterial small subunit ribosomal RNA", at positions 59 to 866 of the family's 1533-position model. The record is from RNAcentral.